This 327-nucleotide ribosomal RNA is filed under the name uncultured eukaryote. Its description in RNAcentral is "partial 18S ribosomal RNA". It matches the Rfam family "Eukaryotic small subunit ribosomal RNA", at positions 1470 to 1796 of the family's 1831-position model. The record is from RNAcentral.
CCCUUAGAUGUUCUGGGCCACACGCGCGUUACACUGAUGAAGCCAGCGAGUAUAUCGCCUUCACCGGAAGGUGCGGGUAAUCUUGUGAAACUUCAUCGUGCUGGGGAUAGACCAUUGCAAUUAUUGGUCUUGAACGAGGAAUUCCUAGUAAGCAUGCGUCAUCAACUCGUGCUGAUUACGUCCCUGCCCUUUGUACACACCGCCCGUCGCUACUACCGAUUGAAUGGUUUAGUGAGAUCUCGGGAUUGGAGACGUUGCGCCGCAAGGCACAUCGUCCUCGAGAACUUGAUCAAACUUGAUCAUUUAGAGGAAGUAAAAGUCGUAACA